GGGCCCAUAGCUCAGCUGGUUAGAGCACCUGACUCAUAAUCAGGGGGUCCUAGGUUCGAGCCCUAGUGGGCCCA
RNAcentral lists this transfer RNA (74 nucleotides) under Flavobacteriales bacterium. Its description in RNAcentral is "tRNA-Ile". It matches the Rfam family "tRNA". From Rfam's summary of the family: Transfer RNA (tRNA) molecules are approximately 80 nucleotides in length. Their secondary structure includes four short double-helical elements and three loops (D, anti-codon, and T loops). Lineage: Bacteria; Pseudomonadati; Bacteroidota; Flavobacteriia; Flavobacteriales. The record is from RNAcentral.